This is a long non-coding RNA of Neoarius graeffei (lesser salmon catfish), 1166 nucleotides long. RefSeq lists it as uncharacterized. The record is from RefSeq and is a predicted model, not a curated record. Lineage: Eukaryota; Metazoa; Chordata; Actinopteri; Siluriformes; Ariidae. The transcript has 4 exons.
UCGCAUCACAGAAUCGCGCUCAUUUCUUAAAUCGCAACAUUUAAUGAAGAACUAGUAUCUCCAAAGCGUAUGUACAUAUUCGGCAGGCGUAAUAACACUUUGGCUCGCGAGAGGUGCCACGGUUGAAACGUCAUCAGACUGGACGAAUCGCGUAGCUGGUAGCUCCCAGCUGUGUUUGGUAAACAGAAGCAGCCACUGGAGUACCAGUGCUAUCAUCCAGCAGUACCGAAGAAGAAGAAAACUCGGCCGAAACUGUUGAAAAAACUAAAUCUUUGACACGUAAGACUUGUUAUAUGCACAUAUCUUCUGUGAAGCAUGAAAAAACAGAAUUUCACCAGCAUACGGUGGAAUACUUACCGAAACAGCCUUCGGCAGUGGCUGGAGUUGAGGGGUGAGUGCAGAGACGUAUCCGAAAAUUACAAACACUGUCUUGACUUGGAUUUUGAUAAAAUUCCCGAAGACGCGGCUUUCCAUCCCACAUGUUACCGGAGGUUCAUUGACAAGCGCGAAAUUGAAAGAGCAAAAAGCCAUCUCGUGUGAGAGAAAGAGCGGGGAGAUGAGACCCCCAGACCAGCGAGGCUAUCCCUGCAACAGUGACUGGCACGACUCCGACAAGGAAACUUCGUUCCAGAUCAAGCCUGCCCAUCUCGAGCUCUGGCCCCGUCCUUCCUGCCAUCUGUAUAAUAUGCAAGAAAACCUGCAAAUAUGUCGUCAAGGCUGGCAGACGACAAAAAGAAGCUUUGUCAAAGACACAGACUUUAACCGCAGGCAAGUUGCAGGAAGCUGCUGAAGUAAAGGAUGACCAUAGCAUUCUCGUUCACGUCAAGGACAAAGACUGUGUGGCUCCGGAGGUGCAGUACCACAAAAGUUGCUACCGACAGUACACAAGGUUUUUGAGUGAUCCUGACAGAGCAUAGAAAGAACAGAUUGAGCCAACGUUUGAUCUCAGCUAUAAGUUGUUCUGUGAGAGGGUAAUCCGUCAAAGGCUGCUGAUCAACCAAGAGGUGCUGAGAAUGAGCCAACUGAGGAAGACCUUUAUUGACCUGGUGCAGUCAAGUGAAGGUGUUGAUGCUUCAAGCUACAGACAGGAUACAUUGAAGAGGAGACUCACCUGUGAUUUUCCUCAGCUUGUGUUCCAAUAGCAUGUCAUGUGGUUUUUACCUCGA